GCAUGGAAAUUAAGCAACAUCAUUUAUAGCUGCCUGAAAAGGGACUGGCUUGCACAGCUUAGUACACAGUACACCAAAGAGCCUCCUGCUCUCUUCUGGCCAUGUAUGAAUCCUUUAGCUGCUCCUCUUUCAUUCCUGGUGGAGAUCCCUUCUGAUCACACUGCUACGGAGUUUUCCAAGGCUCUGCCCCAAGUUCCCUUCCUUUCUCCCUCUGGAACCUCCUGCUAGCCUUUCUUUUUGGACAUUGCUUCAAAGCAGAUGAUGCCCUGAAUGCCCCCAGUGUCUCACUCCUAUUCAUCCACUUCCCUAUUCCCCCUCCCAUCUUGACCCCAGUCUCUUCGGCACAAUUCACAGUUGAGGGGCUUUGAUCUGUCACUGGUCUCUUCUUCAACCUGCUGGACCUCUAGACUGCUGCUGUGCAAAGUGUUUCAUGACUAAGGGCCUGUUGUAGAGAGAGGCUUUCUUUGAAAUACAGUUGCUGGUGGGGUAGUUAGCACUGACAUUUUUUUGCACCACAAUAGUUGCUCAGCUCCAGCUCUGCAGUUUCUGCCUGGCUCACUUAGAAUACUUCUCUGAAAUUUCCCAUACAGCUUAUGGACAAACUAAGCAAUAAUGGUUAAGGCACCAGUCAUUUCCUGAGAACUGCACCAGUGCGGAGAGGACAGAGGUCUGAGCAGAAGCAGAUGGCUGUUGGGUCCUGCUGGUCAUUAAUCCCCCUGAAAAUCUGUUCACAAGGUCAUUAUUCCCAGUAUAUAUGGGAAAAUCAUUAUUCCCACUACAUACAGACAAGGCAAAUGUUUAAAAUACCUUUAGGAGUAUUAUUAUUCAUGGUUACAGGUUGUUCUGGUUCUAGCUCUGGGACAGUUGUGCAGACAAAAUCCCAGCCCCACCAGAAACUAGCUGAGCUAAACUGGAUGCUAAGAGUUCAAGGAGGCUAGAACUUCCCAUUGUCCGGGGAUAUCAUUUUGAUGGGAUGUCGGAUAGGGAACUGUGACUCAGGAAUAUUUUCCUUCUCCCAUAUACACCAGAGCUCAUCUAUGCAUCUUUCUGUGUGAGACUAGACAUAUUUGGUUUUAGACUGUUUGAAAGGGGGGGGUGUAUUCUAUAUAUGGAAUGUUUGGGGAGACAAUGAAAGUAAUGUUUUCUGUACCAGCUCUGGUGCUAAUUUAUUGGGACGCACAGCUUUCUUUUCGCAAAGAUAUUUAGUUUUAAUUGUGUUUGUUGAGGAAUCCAAGGACUUUGGAGAUGUGGUGCCCUUUAAUUAGGUGCACAAAUAUCAACAUGAGUGAAAUGCAUAUUUUAAAAAUAUUUGUUUUUUUAGUAAACUUUUGCCAGGUUCAUUGCAUGGCUAGGGAAUUAAUGUCAAGGCCAUUAUUGUUUGAGUACUGAGUGUACUAGGCCCUAUACAAUACAGGACAGAAAAUACCUCCCCCACAAGAAUCUUACAAUAAUUUCUGAGCAGCAUUUAGAGUAGACACUGCAUACUGUGUGUAAAGCUCUUGAAGCAGGGCCUGAUUUCUCCUCUAAUGUACAGGGGAACAGCACAGAGAACACAGAAGCCUACAGAGCCCUCUUAGGAGCAGUAAUAUUUCGUUUCAUGCUAAUUAGAUAGGUCUGAACUAAGGAUGUAAAGGAGGAGUCGACUAGAAGCUUAUUGGGUAGCACUAUUGUCUACUCGUUCAUCCCGCUCCCCCCAUGCAUUUUUAAAGGGAAGCCGACAGGAGAGGACGCUGGCUGAAUCCCUGGUGCUGGGCCUCAGCACAAACUCAAGCUGCCGCUUUGCAUUUUUAAAGAUAAGCCAGGAGGAGUGCUGAGACCUGGAAUUCAACCAGUGCCCUCUCCUGCCUGCUUUCCUUUAAAAAUGCAAAGCAGCAGGGAAGGGAGGAGGAGAGGUUGUUCUAAGACCCAAGACCAGGGAUUCAGCCAGGCUCCUCUCCUGCCGGCUUCCCUUUAAAAAUACCGAAUGGCAGCAGGAGGUUGUAUUGAAACCCGGCACGAGUCGGGAGUGAGUGCAGACACUGCCCUUCCCCCAUCCACUAACUCAAUUAGCUAAUUAACCGCUAUCUAAUAUCUCUAGUCUGAACCAGAACCUCUUGUCUGAUCAACUUCUGAUUAUGGGAAGGGUGCAUGAAAUCUAGAUCCAGAUUUUGUAGCUUGGUCCGUUAUCUCAAAUGCCUUUCACAGUACCUCAGAGCACUUGGCAAAAACUAACCAAGCCUCACAACACAUCCAUGUGACGUAGUUAUUAGCCCAUGGGAAAACUCUGGUGUGGACAGGCUGCAAUUUACCCAUCCUGUUACAAUGUUACAAUGUGUCAGAGACGGGAACAAGGUACAAGAGCAGUCUUGACUCCUAGUUCCCUACUCUACCCAUUAGACUGCACUUCCCCAUAACAAAUUAGUUUGCUUCUUGUUUUUGGAGUGUCUAGGCUAUUCUGUCGUGACUUAUAAUUUAAGGAUCAGGCAGCUAAAUUUUGCUGAAACACUUGCCCAGCAGUUCACUUCUCCAAAGAUCAAGGUGCCGUAUUGUACAUCUCUUUCACCCGCCGGUAGCGGAAUGCUAAUUUCCUCAUCCAGUCAACUCCCCCGUGAACUCCAGAGCCCAGGCACAGGUUUGCACCGGCAGUUGAACUGUGAAAGCCGUCUGCUGAGAAGUUAUAUGUGCUGGGGAGUGGGGAAGGGAAGCAGAAGAAGGAGGAGGACAAAGAAAUGGGAAAGAGGGACGAGACAUGUUGGGCUAAACCGUCAGUCGAUUCCCAUUACCACUCCCGCUGAAUUUGUGGAUUCACCUAUUUAUACCCACAACUCUCCCUCCAGCCCUCCAACACACUCUUAUACAAGCAAAUUGGGCAGAGUGACCUGGAAAGCCAAUUUUCUAUACAAAUGAGUGAGGAACCAACAAGAUUGCCAGAGGUACGGAACCCAGAACGUCUCCCAAAUCUUCAUGUAUCUACUUUCUACAACUCUCUGAAAACAAGGAAGAAUUUAUUGGAUACAGACAGUGAAAGUGAUUUCUCAUGAAGACAUUGUAUACGCUGGUUACUAGCAACCAUUCAUUGUGAAUUUCUUAGAACUACCUUGAAUACAGAGAAACAAGGACUGUCCUUUACAUGAAAAUCACAAUGUAUGCCUGGCUUACCGAAACAGAGCUGCUAAUGCAACUGUCUGUAGAAAUACUCAAAUCCUAAAGAAUGUAAUUCUGAUGCAGACCUUCCCAAAUUUUUUGGCACUGUAUGUUAAUAUCAGGCUUAAAAACUGUUUUAGAAAAAGAAUGAAUUAACAGUGGAAUGAAAGGGCAGUGGCUAUUUACAAUGCUGGGUCAUGAACAUUCUCCACCAAAAUCUACACACGUAGCACUCAGAAGAAGAGAAUAAACUCAGUAUAGGAUAUAGAAAAGCCUACAAAGGACUUUUCUAUGCAGGACUUAAAGUCAAAUCAACUAAAGACAAGAAUUUAAAGUACAUUAAGGGCCUGUGUAGAUGCUGUUAUUCAAAAGUAUAGAGACAUUUUAUUUCAAUUUAGAGUAAUUCACUUCCCAAAGUUAUUUUGGCUUAAUUUCACUAAGCAUAGGCAAGCAACAGAGAUCUUUUGGGCACAGGCUUGUUACAGGAUGAAAAGAGACAUGUUAGCAGAUUGCUUUUCCAUAUACUCUCAUAAUAAGGACGGAUUAUUGCAGUAAUUUACUUAAGGUAAAAUCCAGUUUUUCAUUUGAAUAUGUAUCUGCACUAAUACUGGUAGAGCUAAUGAAAUACCCUGAAAGUCUCUUAUUCUUUCAGUGUUUUUGAAAACAAGCUACAACAAUACCUCCAGCUUUUCUGUGCAGGGAGAACUGCCUUCCAUGUAUCAUGUAGCUACGUCCAUUUAUUAUAUACACGAUUCAUUAGAAAACAGCUUAGAGUCAGCAAAAGGUCCUGGUUGCCAUACUAUGCAGGUGAACAUCUGCACCCCAAUUUUAUACACACAAUUACUGUUAAUAUACCUGCACACUUGGCAAAUGCACAUGCAAAUUUAUCACAUGCAUGAUUACCAGCUUCACAUAUGCACAUUAUUGACAUGCAAAUCUGAAAUAAUAUUUUCAUGACACAGCCAGUUUUUACUGGUCUACCUGCUAUUCACAAUGUAAGAUUGCUGGACACUAAAAAUCACUCUUCAAAUCAAAGAGGACCUUGUAUUGUGACACCGAGUCCUGGCUGUACCGUUCUGUGCUCUGUGAUAGGUGAUGAUAAGUGUAAACUGCAGGGUCAUUUCAUUGAGAAAUAUGUCUGACAUCUUCAGGAGUUUCUGGUAGCAGUGAUCAAAGGUACUUUUUAAAAAAAAAAAAUUCAGUGCAGCAUGAAAGAGUCCAGAACACAGGACUAAAAAAUGAACUGCACAAAGCUCUUAGCCAGGAAGCUCAGGUUGGGCUUAGAUGAUGCCAUGACCAUGGAGUCCUGCACUGUCAAGUUUGUCAACAUAUUCCAAUAAAGAAAUGUCAUAUGGAAAAUAAGUGGCUGGGGUGUGUAGCUGGUACAAUCAGAAGACAAUGUGUUGAGGUAAUUAAUUCUCAAAUUACACAGCAAGUAGAGUGGGUGAUAUGUUAAUAGUACAGUUGCCAUGGCAGCCUUGAGAUCUUACAAUAAACAACAAUACAGUAA
Non-coding RNA from Pelodiscus sinensis (Chinese soft-shelled turtle), 4633 nucleotides. The record is from RefSeq and is a predicted model, not a curated record. Lineage: Eukaryota; Metazoa; Chordata; Testudines; Trionychidae.